Molecule: ribosomal RNA, 252 nt
Filed under: uncultured bacterium
Lineage: Bacteria
Description: partial small subunit ribosomal RNA
Rfam family: Bacterial small subunit ribosomal RNA
Source: RNAcentral
AGGACGAACGCUGGCGGCGUGCUUAACACAUGCAAGUCGAGCGGAAAGGCCCUUCGGGGUACUCGAGCGGCGAACGGGUGAGUAACACGUGAGCAACCUGCCCCUGGCUCUGGGAUAGCCUCCGGAAACGGGGAUUAAUACCGGACAUGACCUGCUGCCGCAUGGUGGCGGGUGGAAAGUUUUUCGGCCAGGGUGGGGCUCGCGGCCUAUCAGCUUGUGGGGGGUGACGGCCCACCAAGGCGACGACGGGUA